Long non-coding RNA from Macaca nemestrina (pig-tailed macaque), 872 nucleotides. Lineage: Eukaryota; Metazoa; Chordata; Mammalia; Primates; Cercopithecidae. The record is from Ensembl.
AAAGCAAAUCUGGGGACGGGUGUUGAUUUUAAAAGAGAAGGAAAGAAGAGCUAGUUGCUCACUGCAGGUUCUCCUGGCUCGGCGGUGCGGAGGCAAAGGCCUGUUUCUGCAAAGACUUUGAGGACCCAUGACUCUUCCUCAACCUCCAGACCGCUGGAGGUCCCUGAUAGUUGAAUAAGCUAAGAGCAGUGUGCCCGCCUAGUUCUUUCCUGGAAGAUGAAACGCAGCUCCCGAGUCGGGAGACGGAAGAAUGGAUAAACAUUCCUCAAUUGCUGUUGAUAGGUUCUCACCCCAGAACCCGGGCAGUCGGCCUCAUGCUCCAGAGUGCAGGUCCCGUAAGGUACCCAAGGGGAGCCGUCAAUUAGAGCCGUGCUUGAGCCUAAGGCUGACCUGAACCGUUUGAAGGCAGAUCUUCCAUGGAGCGCCCCGGUACUACUUCAUUUCCAGGAAUCUUAAUUACAAGGCAUUACUCUGAUGGAUUGAAUGUAUUAAGUAGCCUCAAUUCACCCCAGUUUGCAGCCCUUUGGGAGGCGGCUCCCGUCCCAUCAUUUUCUGUCCCCCUUUGCUGCCCCAGUGCCAUGGCACCCGGAGGGCUUUGUUCCAAACCAACUUUGAGUCGUGAGUAUUAUCUGAAGCCCCUCCCUUGCCUGGAGGCCUUUCAGAAACUACUUUAUCUCUUGCAGGUCCUUUUCUGGAAAGGUCAAAGGGACGAGAGGGGUCUCUGCAGUGUCCUGGAUCUGGUUUCAACCUCACCUUCUCCAUGUAUGAGAAAACAAGUCACUUGGAUUCACUGUGCCUCGGUUUCCCCAGAUGGCGAGCAGGACUCAGUCUUUUGCACCUGGUCCAUCAGAGGACAAGCUUUCAUGUGUUAG